This 1447-nucleotide ribosomal RNA is filed under the name Escherichia coli. Its description in RNAcentral is "bacterial SSU rRNA". It matches the Rfam family "Bacterial small subunit ribosomal RNA". The record is from RNAcentral. Lineage: Bacteria; Pseudomonadati; Pseudomonadota; Gammaproteobacteria; Enterobacterales; Enterobacteriaceae.
GACGGGUGAGUAAUGUCUGGGAAACUGCCUGAUGGAGGGGGAUAACUACUGGAAACGGUAGCUAAUACCGCAUAACGUCGCAAGACCAAAGAGGGGGACCUUCGGGCCUCUUGCCAUCGGAUGUGCCCAGAUGGGAUUAGCUUGUUGGUGGGGUAACGGCUCACCAAGGCGACGAUCCCUAGCUGGUCUGAGAGGAUGACCAGCCACACUGGAACUGAGACACGGUCCAGACUCCUACGGGAGGCAGCAGUGGGGAAUAUUGCACAAUGGGCGCAAGCCUGAUGCAGCCAUGCCGCGUGUAUGAAGAAGGCCUUCGGGUUGUAAAGUACUUUCAGCGGGGAGGAAGGGAGUAAAGUUAAUACCUUUGCUCAUUGACGUUACCCGCAGAAGAAGCACCGGCUAACUCCGUGCCAGCAGCCGCGGUAAUACGGAGGGUGCAAGCGUUAAUCGGAAUUACUGGGCGUAAAGCGCACGCAGGCGGUUUGUUAAGUCAGAUGUGAAAUCCCCGGGCUCAACCUGGGAACUGCAUCUGAUACUGGCAAGCUUGAGUCUCGUAGAGGGGGGUAGAAUUCCAGGUGUAGCGGUGAAAUGCGUAGAGAUCUGGAGGAAUACCGGUGGCGAAGGCGGCCCCCUGGACGAAGACUGACGCUCAGGUGCGAAAGCGUGGGGAGCAAACAGGAUUAGAUACCCUGGUAGUCCACGCCGUAAACGAUGUCGACUUGGAGGUUGUGCCCUUGAGGCGUGGCUUCCGGAGCUAACGCGUUAAGUCGACCGCCUGGGGAGUACGGCCGCAAGGUUAAAACUCAAAUGAAUUGACGGGGGCCCGCACAAGCGGUGGAGCAUGUGGUUUAAUUCGAUGCAACGCGAAGAACCUUACCUGGUCUUGACAUCCACAGAACUUUCCAGAGAUGGAUUGGUGCCUUCGGGAACUGUGAGACAGGUGCUGCAUGGCUGUCGUCAGCUCGUGUUGUGAAAUGUUGGGUUAAGUCCCGCAACGAGCGCAACCCUUAUCCUUUGUUGCCAGCGGUCCGGCCGGGAACUCAAAGGAGACUGCCAGUGAUAAACUGGAGGAAGGUGGGGAUGACGUCAAGUCAUCAUGGCCCUUACGACCAGGGCUACACACGUGCUACAAUGGCGCAUACAAAGAGAAGCGACCUCGCGAGAGCAAGCGGACCUCAUAAAGUGCGUCGUAGUCCGGAUUGGAGUCUGCAACUCGACUCCAUGAAGUCGGAAUCGCUAGUAAUCGUGGAUCAGAAUGCCACGGUGAAUACGUUCCCGGGCCUUGUACACACCGCCCGUCACACCAUGGGAGUGGGUUGCAAAAGAAGUAGGUAGCUUAACCUUCGGGAGGGCGCUUACCACUUUGUGAUUCAUGACUGGGGUGAAGUCGUAACAAGGUAACCGUAGGGGAACCUGCGGUUGGAUCACCUCCUUACCUUAAAGAAGC